AUUGAACGCUGGCGGCGUGCUUAACACAUGCAAGUCGUGCGGUAACAGGCGUAGCAAUACGUGCUGACGAGCGGCGAACGGGUGCGUAAUACAUGGGAAUCCGCCCUUUAGUGGGGAAUAACCCGGCGAAAGCCGGGCUAAUGCCGCAUAAGAUCUUCGGAUGAAAGCGGGGGAUCGUAAGACCUCGCGCUGAUGGAUGGGCCCAUGUCGGAUUAGCUAGUUGGGAGGUAACGGCUCACCAAGGCGACGAUCCGUAGCUGGUCUGAGAGGACGGCCAGCCACACUGGGACUGAGACACGGCCCAGACUCCUACGGGAGGCAGCAGUGGGGAAUAUUGGACAAUGGGCGAAAGCCUGAUCCAGCGACGCCGCGUGUGUGAAGAAGGCCUGCGGGUUGUAAAGCACUUUC
RNAcentral lists this ribosomal RNA (408 nucleotides) under uncultured bacterium. RNAcentral's name for it is "bacterial SSU rRNA". It matches the Rfam family "Bacterial small subunit ribosomal RNA", at positions 30 to 437 of the family's 1533-position model. The record is from RNAcentral.